CGAACGCUGGCGGUGCGCCUUAUGCAUGCAAGUCGAGCGAAGCUUUUCAGUAGUUUACUACAGAAAAUGACUGAGCGGCGAACGGGUGAGUAACGCGUGAGCAACCUACCUUAGUUACUGGGAUAGCCCGAGGAAACUCGGAUUAAUACCGGAUAUUCUUAUUUAAUCACAUGAUUUUUUAAGGAAAGGUCAGCCGAACUAAGAUGGGCUCGCGUUCUAUCAGCUAGUUGGUAGGGUAAUGGCCUACCAAGGCUACGACGGAUAGCUGGUCUGAGAGGACGAUCAGCCACACUGGGACUGAGACACGGCCCAGACUCCUACGGGAGGCUGCAGCAGGGAAUAUUGCGCAAUGAGCGAAAGCUUGACGCAGCGACACCGCGUGUGGGAUGACGGAUCUAGGUUUGUAAACCACUUUCAGGAGGGAAGAAAAUGACGGUACCUCCACAAGAAGCCCCGGCCAACUACGU
RNAcentral lists this ribosomal RNA (467 nucleotides) under uncultured bacterium. Its description in RNAcentral is "bacterial SSU rRNA". It matches the Rfam family "Bacterial small subunit ribosomal RNA", at positions 30 to 506 of the family's 1533-position model. The record is from RNAcentral.